UUGCAAGCAAUUGGCUUGGUGACGUGGCAACCUUUAAUCCAGGAUUCAUAUUUUUCUAUUUUCUCACAAUUUUGACUUUUCCCUUACUGUUACCAUUUAUUAUCCGCUACAUCCACAAAAAACAACUGAAUUUCCAUCUCCAGUAGCGGUUACAUAUACUUAUCAGAAAAUAACCCUACGGGAGAUAUCAACCUCGAUAGCGCUCAUUCCAAAAACUACAAUCAAAGUUCUGGUUCGAUGUUGGAAGCACUCAAUCCUGGUUUGGUUCUCUUCUGCGCUUUACCUCUGUUCUUCAAUCUUUCAAAGCACAAAUUUUAUGUUCUGGACGUGGUUUGAUUAUUAGAGUUCAUAUGACAAGCAAUUAAUGAAUUCCCUUUAUCUUUCUUCAUCAAUUUUGGCCUAUUAUCCAUGUCUAUAUUAUACGAGCCGAAGAGUCGCAUCAAUUACAAGCCAUGAGGUCAGCUUCUUUCCCCCCGCUAAAAUCCUUCUUCUUUUUGUAAUGCAAACGGUGGGAAAUUGGAGUCGUAGGGAUAUGGACAUGGUCAUUAAUCCUCUGUGGAAUGUGCUCAGUGAAGAACCCUUCCGACAAGAUGAAGUGAAGUGAGAAGCAAACUGGAAUUGCCAUCUCUUAUGCUACUGCCAAAGAGAUAGUUUCAUCAAUCUUGUUUUGUCGCGGCCAAACCUGACUUUUGCACAAUCCAAUAGAGUGUAAUGCACUAGCACUUCUUCAGGUAGGCAGGGAGGAGACGUUGCUCCAGAUUCCUAGAGUUGCCAGCCGGUUAAAAGCCCUCCAUUGCUCCGGAGGUGCCUAUGACAAUCUUUUGUGUACAGUUGUAUGUGUGUCAGUUCAUAGAGGCUCGUAGAUACUCGAUGUGGGUUGUAUGGUCUCAGGGAAUGGUCAUUUUGCAUGCAUGUACAUAUAUGUAUUAUUUUGCUAGCCUAUAGGGCUCAAGUAUAUACAGUACUUUUGUUUCCAAAUGAAAAUGUUUUCUUAUAAAUUAACUAUGAAGUGGAUAAUCGAUUGACAAAGAGGCUAAGGAGUAGUAACACGAGUGGUGCUCGGUGGUUAGCAC
Lycium barbarum (goji berry) is the source of this 1073-nucleotide long non-coding RNA. RefSeq lists it as uncharacterized. Lineage: Eukaryota; Viridiplantae; Streptophyta; Magnoliopsida; Solanales; Solanaceae. The transcript has 4 exons. The record is from RefSeq and is a predicted model, not a curated record.